AUGUCCUUGGAGCCUUCCAGUUGUGAACAAAAGACCUGUGUGGCCAGGGGACUGUGGGUGUUGCCACUAGGGAUGGGAAGCUUGGUCCCUUUAAGGCUCUUCUCCCUGCAACCAAGCCCCAGGCCUCUGCGGGGGAGGACAUGCAUUAUUGAAAGCGCAUUUCAAUACCUAUUCACUCUCCUCCUCCUCCUGUGGGUGGCAAUCACAGUUUACAUAAUCUGUCUCUCUGUCCUCCCAGGCAGCUGCUCCCUUCUGGCUGAGUGGUUUGAGGAGGGGGAGGGGAGACAGAGGGAAGUUGAGAUGAGACACAGAGACAGAGAGAGACACACAGAGAAAGGGAGAAUGAGUCAGUGAGGAAGUGAAAGA
This 366-nucleotide long non-coding RNA is filed under the name Mustela putorius furo (domestic ferret). Its description in RNAcentral is "lncRNA (ENSMPUG00000030608.1)". Lineage: Eukaryota; Metazoa; Chordata; Mammalia; Carnivora; Mustelidae. The record is from RNAcentral.